Molecule: ribosomal RNA, 301 nt
Filed under: uncultured bacterium
Lineage: Bacteria
Description: partial 16S ribosomal RNA
Rfam family: Bacterial small subunit ribosomal RNA
Source: RNAcentral
CAGCAGCCGCGGUAAUACGGAGGGGGCUAGCGUUGUUCGGAAUUACUGGGCGUAAAGCGCACGUAGGCGGCUUUGUAAGUUAGAGGUGAAAGCCUGGAGCUCAACUCCAGAAUUGCCUUUAAGACUGCAUCGCUUGAAUCCGGGAGAGGUGAGUGGAAUUCCGAGUGUAGAGGUGAAAUUCGUAGAUAUUCGGAAGAACACCAGUGGCGAAGGCGGCUCACUGGACCGGCAUUGACGCUGAGGAGCGAAAGCAUGGGGAGCGAACAGGAUUAGAUACCCCCGUAGUCCCUGUCUCUUAUAU